UACGGAGGAUCCAAGCGUUAUCCGGAAUCAUUGGGUUUAAAGGGUCCGUAGGCGGAUUGAUAAGUCAGCGGUGAAAGUUUGUGGCUUAACCAUAAAAUUGCCGUUGAUACUGUUAGUCUUGAAUAAUUAUGAAGUAGCUAGAAUAUGUAGUGUAGCGGUGAAAUGCUUAGAUAUUACAUGGACUACCGAUUGCGAAGGCAGGUUACUAAUAAUUUAUUGACGCUGAUGGACGAAAGCGUGGGGAGCGAACAGGAUUAGAUACCCUGGUAGUCCACGCCGUAAACGAUGGAUACUAGCUGUUUGGUAGUAAUACUGAGUGGCUAAGCGAAAGUGAUAAGUUAUCCACCUGGGGAGUACGACCGCAAGGUUGAA
This 372-nucleotide ribosomal RNA is filed under the name uncultured bacterium. Its description in RNAcentral is "bacterial SSU rRNA". It matches the Rfam family "Bacterial small subunit ribosomal RNA", at positions 524 to 898 of the family's 1533-position model. The record is from RNAcentral.